Oreochromis niloticus (Nile tilapia) is the source of this 3076-nucleotide long non-coding RNA. Lineage: Eukaryota; Metazoa; Chordata; Actinopteri; Cichliformes; Cichlidae. The record is from Ensembl.
GUGGAGCGGUGUUCAUGCAGGUUUCUGAAAAUGUAUCUUUGGUUUUGUUUCUUUUUUUGUUAGAACUCAACAGUUAAUUAUUUGAUAAAUCAUCAAGCUGCCCCGAGACAAACUCGUGACCUGGUCUGGGAGUCUCACCUUCCUCACCGUGUGAGACCUUGGAUGCCUCACAGAGACCCUGAGUUUCUAGAUUGGAUAAGCAGAAGAAUAAAUCAUCAAGAUACGCCUCAUCCCCCAAUGGGCUUCUGGAUCGGACUGAGAGACGUCCAUGAGGAAGGGACUUGGAAAUGGUGGGAUGGAACAUUACUUGCUGAAGGUGUUUGAAAACUUUAUCGUCACCGCCGGCGUGCUUUGUACCUCAGGCUCAUCAGAGACAAUCGUAUCCAGGUAAAAUAAUUGUCUUUAAUCUACACACUUUUAGGAAUUACUUAGCUAAUUUCAUGGAUAAUUUCAGUGACUGAAUUAUUGCCGGUCAUUCGUACAUUUACUUUAUUAUAUAAAAUAUAUAAAUUAAAUCUCUUUGAAACUUAUAGAAUCUAAUCUUUUGGUUUCUUUUUUUUUCAUAGCAUUUUAUCAAACUGUUGUCUGCUACAGAGUUAAAAGUAUUGUACUAGUAGUAAUAUAGCAUUCACCAUCUCCUGCUUGCAUAUUUCUGAAAACAUCUUAGUGGUGUGGCAGCCAUGGGUUGAGCCAGCCCUGCAAACCCUGUGGAUGGACGAUGCAGUGGACAGUGGGAGGAAGCAUCCUAAAGCUCUCUUUGCAGACCAGCCUGUGUGAUUCUCCACUCGCCGACCAGAAAAGACAAACGGCAGGUCUAAGUUGCAGCACCUCAUCCAUCCAUGUCUGAUCUUGCAUCGGCAGAUUCAGCAACACAGCCAGAGACUUCCUGUAAUCUAUUACAGUUGUUAAAAAAACGGUCCAGGAACAGGUCACUCAGGUUAAUCCUGUAUAAACAACUGUAAAUAUUGUUUUUCCUUCUUUAAAUAUUGUUGGCUUAUUAGAAAUAUUCUUGUUUAAUUGUUGUUCUCCAAAAAGUUGAUUCUGUUCAUCUGGACGUAGCGUUUUGUGGGAGAAACGUUUCGUCACUCAUCCAAGUGACUUCUUCGGUCUCAGCUGACUGCAGGUUCCCCCAAUCUCAUAAACAGUACAUUUGCAUAAUGACUGAAACUGGCCCACUGAAUUGUUGUUGUUAUUUACUUUAUUGCCAUAUUGGGGCGAUCGUGGCUCAAGAGUUGGGAGGUUGCCUUGUAAUCGGAAGGUUGCCGAUUCGAGCCCCGGCUUGAACAGUCUCGGUCGUUGUGUCCUUGGGCAAAACACUUCACCCGUUGCCUACUGGUGGUGGUCAGAGGGCCCGGUGCCACCAGUGUCGGCAGCCUCGUCUCUGUCAGUGCCCCCCAGGGUGGCUGUGACUACAAUGUAGCUUACCAUCACUAGUGUGUGAGUGGGUGGAUGACUGGAUGUGUAAAGCGCUAUACAAAUACAGGCCAUUUACCAUCAAAUAAAUAUCCAUGUAAAAUUGUUCAAAGUGACCAUUAUGUUCAUAGAUGUUAAAAAUACCUGAAAAUAAAAUGAGUUCAGUGACAGUUAGUGUUUGUUGUAAUCAAUUUAUUAAUAACAAAACACUUUUAAACUAAUGCAACACAUAUAACAAUGUCACAAAAUAUUCAAAUAAAUACAUUUCUUAAUGCAUAACUGAUUUUGGAACUGAUCUUUCAAGAAGUGAAAACAGUCUGUCCAUCCUCUCCCUGAUCAAAUCGAUCGAUUCGGGACCUUGUGAAUCUGAAUCGAAUCGAUUCUAGAAAUCCGUGACAAUACCAGCCCUACUCGUCUCCACCCAACGCGAGCUCAAUAAUGGCCACAGUGAGCAUGUGAGCAACUAUUUGCCUGCGCUACUGUGCAUGUAUGAAGUGGACCGACUUGUGAUCAGGCACACAUGAGGCCGACCGGCUGAGAAUACUGAAAUCAAAGGAAAUCAAACUCUUCUGUUUGGUGAAAUGUUAUACUUACCAAAUCAUGCUCCCUGGCCUCAUAUCCUUUGCAGGUGGAACUGGACCCAGUUGUGAAAACCAAUGAUUUCCGUUUCUGAUUUUGUCUGGCCAACAAAGAGUCCAGGCUGGUGAUGAUCAAUUUAAGAACAGAAACACACACUUCUUACCAAAGAAAUGAAUAUUAUUUUACAGUGUUGCUGAAUCACAUGGAUGAAUUUAACACCUGGACACAGUUAUAGCGUGAUGACUGGCAGGAGAAGAUCUCACCCUGUGUUUCUCUGCCUGUGGUAGAGGUGGAACCAGAUCAAGUGGAGCUGAUUCUUGAACAGCCUCAAGUCAGAGCUGGAUUGACCUUCUGUCACCAGGUACUGAUGAGCCCGCUGUGGAGAAACAUCACUGAUGACGUUCAUGAAUCCCCAGCUGACUCUGGUAACCUUAAUACAGCACAGAAAAAAUGUCACAAUAAUCAUUUUAUGUUGUGAUUAUUGUGAUAAUAACAGAAACAGAUGCAUCUAUGUCAUUAUCUUUGAGCUUUUACACUUAACAUAAUUAUAAAAACAUGAGUAUAAAAGGUGUUAAAACUCUGAUGCCAUCUUGGAAUACUGCACUUUGUUCAUGUCAUUACAACAUUUCUCUCUUUCUAAUCAUACAUCUAGAUGUUAUGUCAACACACAUUUAAUCUACAUUAUAAGAGUGCCUUUGUGAUAAAUGUGUCUUUCAUUCUUAAAUUAACUGGUUAAAUAUUUAAUCUAACUAAACCCUAAAGAUGGAGUCAGAAGACAACAGUCACCUGAAGGGCUGAAAAUUGUAAAGACCCUACAGAACAAUCAGUAAAUGUCAGUAAAUCUGUGAUUCUGUGAGUAACACACUGGGUUCAGUUUGGAGGUUGAGCUCUCACUCACCAGGCCGACAGCCGUCUGUGCCACAGUUAAACUCAUGCAGUGCUAAUUUAAAAACUCACAAAUAUUUUGGACAAUUUAUAUUUUUCUAUCACAAUAAAUACAAGUCUUCAUUGAAGUAAACACACAGAGCAGUAGUGGAUGUUUUUUUAAAAUAUUAUUUUUCUUUAUUUUGAUUAGCCAUCAACC